Molecule: unclassified non-coding RNA, 354 nt
Filed under: Hevea brasiliensis (rubber tree)
Lineage: Eukaryota; Viridiplantae; Streptophyta; Magnoliopsida; Malpighiales; Euphorbiaceae
Source: RNAcentral
UGAGAUUAUACUCAAAUGGAUUACGCUGCUUCAAGUCAUUGCAACUCUGCAACGGUUGAAUCCUAUCCUGGAAAAAAUAAAAAAAAGGGAGGAAAGAAAUAGACCGACAACGAAAUCAAUCACAGAAACUUGAUCUUCUUGCCAUCGCUGAUUUCCUUAAUCAGUUUCCUUACAAGCCACUUCUCUCUCUCUCCCUCCAACUCCCACAGGUUUAAAAACUCUUUUCAAUCCGUGAAGCUUCACAAAUUUUCAGUUUGUUUUUGUAUCUAGAGAGAAUGGCAAGUGGGGAUCCAGAGAGAGGGACAAAGAACAGAGGAUACAACACCGCAAACGUCCACUACGUGGAAACCUCGG